Molecule: ribosomal RNA, 515 nt
Filed under: uncultured bacterium
Lineage: Bacteria
Description: partial 16S ribosomal RNA
Rfam family: Bacterial small subunit ribosomal RNA
Source: RNAcentral
GACGAACGCUGGCGGCGUGCCUAAUACAUGCAAGUCGAGCGAAUGGAUUGAGAGCUUGCUCUUAUGAAGUUAGCGGCGGACGGGUGAGUAACACGUGGGUAACCUGCCCAUAAGACUGGGAUAACUCCGGGAAACCGGGGCUAAUACCGGAUAACAUUUUAAACCGCAUGGAUUGAAAUUGAAAGGGUGCUUCGGCUGUCACUUAUGGAUGGACUCGCGUCGCAUUAGCUAGUUGGUGAGGUAACGGCUCACCAAGGCAAAGAUGCGUAGCCGACCGGAGAGGGUGAUCGGCCACACUGGGACUGAGACACGGCCCAGACUCCUACGGGAGGCAGCAGUAGGGAAUCUUCCGCAAUGGACGAAAGUCUGACGGAGCAACGCCGCGUGAGUGAUGAAGGCUUUCGGGUCGUAAAACUCUGUUGUUAGGGAAGAACAAGUGCUAGUUGAAUAAGCUGGCACCUUGACGGUACCUAACCAGAAAGCCACGGCUAACUACGUGCCAGCAGCCGCCGUAA